AGAGUUUGAUCCUGGCUCAGAAUGAACGUUGGCGGCGUGGAUUAGGCAUGCAAGUCGAACGAAUCCCUGUUUGGGUAACUGAGCAGGGGGAAGUGGCGAAAGGGGCAGUAAGGCAUGGGUAACCUACCCUGGAGUUGGGCAUAGCCGUUCUAAAGGACGGGUAAUUCCCGAUGGCCUAGCGAGGGGACAUCUUCUUGCUAGUAAAGAAUUUUGCUCUGGGAGGGGCCCAUGUGCUAUUAGCUAGUUGGCGGGGUAACGGCCCACCAAGGCUAAGAUGGCUAGCGGGUGUGAGAGCACGACCCGCGCCACUGGCACUGAGACACUGGCCAGACACCUACGGGUGGCUGCAGUCGAGGAUCUUCGUCAAUGGGCGAAAGCCUGAACGAGCGACGCCGCGUGCGCGAUGAAGGCCUUCGGGUUGUAAAGCGCGAAAGUGGGGACGAAAGCCGAAAGGUUUGACCGAUCCACAGUAAGCUCGGGCUAAGUUCGUGCCAGCAGCCGCGGUAAGACGAACCGAGCAAACGUUAUUCGGAAUCACUGGGCUUAAAGGGCGCGUAGGCGGGUAUCCAAGUCCGUGGUGAAAUCCGGCAGCUCAACUGUCGAAUUGCCAUGGAUACUGGGUAUCUCGAGGGAGGUAGGGGCGUGCGGAACUAUUGGUGGAGCGGUGAAAUGCGUUGAUAUCAAUAGGAACUCCGGUGGCGAAGGCGGCACGCUGGCCUCUUCUGNNGCUGAGGCCGAAAGCCAGGGGAGCAAACGGGAUUAGAUACCCUCGUAGUCC
RNAcentral lists this ribosomal RNA (778 nucleotides) under uncultured bacterium. RNAcentral's name for it is "bacterial SSU rRNA". It matches the Rfam family "Bacterial small subunit ribosomal RNA", at positions 8 to 796 of the family's 1533-position model. The record is from RNAcentral.